CAACUCAGCUUUGCAGACCACUGAAAAUACACGGUGUCCAACGAAGUCUCGCAGUUAAAUAACGCGUACAAAAAGAUCUGUGAUGCUUGGAAGAAAAUUGAUCAGACCAUCGAGAGUUUUAGGGGAAUAGAGAGAUAGGUGAUCAAGAGAAAGAUAGAAUGGGAAACUAGAAGAACAUCGGUGAUGGUGGAAGAAA
RNAcentral lists this long non-coding RNA (196 nucleotides) under Polistes fuscatus (common paper wasp). RNAcentral describes it as "uncharacterized LOC122514175". Lineage: Eukaryota; Metazoa; Arthropoda; Insecta; Hymenoptera; Vespidae. The record is from RNAcentral.